AAUAUGAAGGCCAGGCUGAAGACUUUGCCGGAUUAGCUGAGAGGUGGUGCAUGGCCGUCGUCAGUUCGUACUGUGAAGCAUCCUGUUAAGUCAGGCAACGAGCGAGACCCACGCCCACAGUUGCCAGCGUACUCUCUGGAGUGACGGGUACACUGUGGGGACCGCCGCUGCUAAAGCGGAGGAAGGAAUGGGCAACGGUAGGUCAGCAUGCCCCGAAUUAUCUGGGCUACACGCGGGCUACAAUGGGUGGGACAAUGGGUAUCGACACCGAAAGGUGAAGGCAAUCUCCUAAACCCAUCCGUAGUUCGGAUUGUGGGCUGCAACUCGCCCGCAUGAAGCUGGAAUCUGUAGUAAUCGUGUCUCAAAAUGGCACGGUGAAUAUGUCCCUGCUCCUU
This 395-nucleotide ribosomal RNA is filed under the name uncultured Methanolinea sp. RNAcentral's name for it is "bacterial SSU rRNA". It matches the Rfam family "Archaeal small subunit ribosomal RNA", at positions 944 to 1338 of the family's 1478-position model. The record is from RNAcentral. Lineage: Archaea; Methanobacteriati; Methanobacteriota; Methanomicrobia; Methanomicrobiales; Methanoregulaceae.